AUGGCUGCUAAUACCGCAUAAGCGCACGGUACUGCAUGGUACAGUGUGAAAAACUCCGGUGGUAUGAGAUGGACCCGCGUUGGAUUAGCUAGUUGGCAGGGUAACGGCCUACCAAGGCGACGAUCCAUAGCCGGCCUGAGAGGGUGGACGGCCACAUUGGGACUGAGACACGGCCCAGACUCCUACGGGAGGCAGCAGUGGGGAAUAUUGCACAAUGGGGGAAACCCUGAUGCAGCGACGCCGCGUGAGCGAAGAAGUAUUUCGGUAUGUAAAGCUCUAU
RNAcentral lists this ribosomal RNA (280 nucleotides) under Lachnospiraceae bacterium. RNAcentral describes it as "partial 16S ribosomal RNA". It matches the Rfam family "Bacterial small subunit ribosomal RNA", at positions 156 to 436 of the family's 1533-position model. Lineage: Bacteria; Bacillati; Bacillota; Clostridia; Lachnospirales; Lachnospiraceae. The record is from RNAcentral.